Molecule: non-coding RNA, 45 nt
Organism: Nematostella vectensis (starlet sea anemone)
Lineage: Eukaryota; Metazoa; Cnidaria; Anthozoa; Actiniaria; Edwardsiidae
Source: Rfam
ACAACGGUUCUUUUAAGAGCCACACACUUAUACGAAAGUCAUGCC